CGGGUGCAGCAGGCGCGAAAACUUUACAAUGCGGGAAACCGUGAUAAGGGGACACCGAGUGCCAGCAUCAUAUGCUGGCUGUCCAGGUGUGUAAACUACACCUGUUAGCAAGGGCCGGGCAAGACCGGUGCCAGCCGCCGCGGUAACACCGGCGGCCCGAGUGGUGAUCGUGAUUAUUGGGUCUAAAGGGUCCGUAGCCGGUUUGGUCAGUCCUCCGGGAAAUCUGACGGCUCAACCGUUAGGCUUUCGGGGGAUACUGCCAGGCUUGGAACCGGGAGAGGUAAGAGGUACUACAGGGGUAGGAGUGAAAUCUUGUAAUCCCUGUGGGACCACCUGUGGCGAAGGCGUCUUACCAGAACGGGUUCGACGGUGAGGGACGAAAGCUGGGGGCACGAACCGGAUUAGAUACCCGGGUAGUCCCAGCCGUAAACGAUGCUCGCUAGGUGUCAGGCAUGGCGCGACCGUGUCUGGUGCCGCAGGGAAGCCGUGAAGCGAGCCACCUGGGAAGUACGGCCGCAAGGCUGAAACUUAAAGGAAUUGGCGGGGGAGCACAAGGGCGAUUGCGG
This 566-nucleotide ribosomal RNA is filed under the name uncultured archaeon. RNAcentral's name for it is "bacterial SSU rRNA". It matches the Rfam family "Archaeal small subunit ribosomal RNA", at positions 327 to 893 of the family's 1478-position model. The record is from RNAcentral.